This 73-nucleotide transfer RNA is filed under the name Elusimicrobia bacterium CG08_land_8_20_14_0_20_51_18. RNAcentral's name for it is "tRNA-Pro". It matches the Rfam family "tRNA". From Rfam's summary of the family: Transfer RNA (tRNA) molecules are approximately 80 nucleotides in length. Their secondary structure includes four short double-helical elements and three loops (D, anti-codon, and T loops). The record is from RNAcentral. Lineage: Bacteria; Pseudomonadati; Elusimicrobiota.
CGGGGCGUGGCUCAGAUGGUAGAGCGCUCGGUUCGGGACCGAGAGGCCGCCGGUUCGAUCCCGGCCGCCCCGA